This 440-nucleotide ribosomal RNA is filed under the name uncultured bacterium. RNAcentral describes it as "partial 16S ribosomal RNA". It matches the Rfam family "Bacterial small subunit ribosomal RNA", at positions 338 to 795 of the family's 1533-position model. The record is from RNAcentral.
CCUACGGGAGACAGCAGUAAGGGAUAUUGGUCAAUGGGGGAAACCCUGAACCAGCAACGCCGCGUGAGGGUAGACGGUUUUCGGAUUGUAAACCUCUGUCCUCUGUGAAGAUGAUGACGGUCGCAGAGGAGGAAGCUCCGGCUAACUACGUGCCAGCAGCCGCGGUAAUACGUAGGGAGCGAGGGUUGUCCGGAUUUACUGGUUUUAAGGGGUGCGUAGGCGGCUUGGCAAGUCAGGAGUGAAAUCCAUGGGCUUAACCCAUGAACUGCUAUUGAAACUGUCGAGCUUGAGUGAAGUCGGGGUAGGCGGAAUGCGCGGUGUAGCGGUGAAAUGCGUAGAGAUCGGGAGGAACACCAGUUGCGAAGGCGGCCUACGGGGCUUUAACUGACGCUGAGGCACGAAAGCGUGGGUAGCAAACAGGAUUAGAUACCCCUGUAGUC